Molecule: ribosomal RNA, 2196 nt
Filed under: Escherichia coli
Lineage: Bacteria; Pseudomonadati; Pseudomonadota; Gammaproteobacteria; Enterobacterales; Enterobacteriaceae
Description: partial 23S ribosomal RNA
Rfam family: Bacterial large subunit ribosomal RNA
Source: RNAcentral
GGGUUGUGAGGUUAAGCGACUAAGCGUACACGGUGGAUGCCCUGGCAGUCAGAGGCGAUGAAGGACGUGCUAAUCUGCGAUAAGCGUCGGUGAGGUGAUAUGAACCGUUAUAACCGGCGAUUUCCGAAUGGGGAAACCCAGUGUGUUUCGACACACUAUCAUUAACUGAAUCCAUAGGUUAAUGAGGCGAACCGGGGGAACUGAAACAUCUAAGUACCCCGAGGAAAAGAAAUCAACCGAGAUUCCCCCAGUAGCGGCGAGCGAACGGGGAGGAGCCCAGAGCCUGAAUCAGUGUGUGUGUUAGUGGAAGCGUCUGGAAAGGCGCGCGAUACAGGGUGACAGCCCCGUACACAAAAAUGCACACAUUGUGAGCUCGAUGAGUAGGGCGGGACACGUGGUAUCCUGUCUGAAUAUGGGGGGACCAUCCUCCAAGGCUAAAUACUCCUGACUGACCGAUAGUGAACCAGUACCGUGAGGGAAAGGCGAAAAGAACCCCGGCGAGGGGAGUGAAAAAGAACCUGAAACCGUGUACGUACAAGCAGUGGGAGCCUCUUAAUGGGGUGACUGCGUACCUUUUGUAUAAUGGGUCAGCGACUUAUAUUCUGUAGCAAGGUUAACCGAAUAGGGGAGCCGAAGGGAAACCGAGUCUUAACUGGGCGUUAAGUUGCAGGGUAUAGACCCGAAACCCGGUGAUCUAGCCAUGGGCAGGUUGAAGGUUGGGUAACACUAACUGGAGGACCGAACCGACUAAUGUUGAAAAAUUAGCGGAUGACUUGUGGCUGGGGGUGAAAGGCCAAUCAAACCGGGAGAUAGCUGGUUCUCCCCGAAAGCUAUUUAGGUAGCGCCUCGUGAAUUCAUCUCCGGGGGUAGAGCACUGUUUCGGCAAGGGGGUCAUCCCGACUUACCAACCCGAUGCAAACUGCGAAUACCGGAGAAUGUUAUCACGGGAGACACACGGCGGGUGCUAACGUCCGUCGUGAAGAGGGAAACAACCCAGACCGCCAGCUAAGGUCCCAAAGUCAUGGUUAAGUGGGAAACGAUGUGGGAAGGCCCAGACAGCCAGGAUGUUGGCUUAGAAGCAGCCAUCAUUUAAAGAAAGCGUAAUAGCUCACUGGUCGAGUCGGCCUGCGCGGAAGAUGUAACGGGGCUAAACCAUGCACCGAAGCUGCGGCAGCGACACUAUGUGUUGUUGGGUAGGGGAGCGUUCUGUAAGCCUGUGAAGGUGGCCUGUGAGGGUUGCUGGAGGUAUCAGAAGUGCGAAUGCUGACAUAAGUAACGAUAAAGCGGGUGAAAAGCCCGCUCGCCGGAAGACCAAGGGUUCCUGUCCAACGUUAAUCGGGGCAGGGUGAGUCGACCCCUAAGGCGAGGCCGAAAGGCGUAGUCGAUGGGAAACAGGUUAAUAUUCCUGUACUUGGUGUUACUGCGAAGGGGGGACGGAGAAGGCUAUGUUGGCCGGGCGACGGUUGUCCCGGUUUAAGCGUGUAGGCUGGUUUUCCAGGCAAAUCCGGAAAACCAAGGCUGAGGCGUGAUGACGAGGCACUACGGUGCUGAAGCGACAAAUGCCCUGCUUCCAGGAAAAGCCUCUAAGCAUCAGGUAACAUCAAAUCGUACCCCAAACCGACACAGGUGGUCAGGUAGAGAAUACCAAGGCGCUUGAGAGAACUCGGGUGAAGGAACUAGGCAAAAUGGUGCCGUAACUUCGGGAGAAGGCACGCUGAUAUGUAGGUGAAGCGACUUGCUCGUGGAGCUGAAAUCAGUCGAAGAUACCAGCUGGCUGCAACUGUUUAUUAAAAACACAGCACUGUGCAAACACGAAAGUGGACGUAUACGGUGUGACGCCUGCCCGGUGCCGGAAGGUUAAUUGAUGGGGUUAGCGGUAACGCGAAGCUCUUGAUCGAAGCCCCGGUAAACGGCGGCCGUAACUAUAACGGUCCUAAGGUAGCGAAAUUCCUUGUCGGGUAAGUUCCGACCUGCACGAAUGGCGUAAUGAUGGCCAGGCUGUCUCCACCCGAGACUCAGUGAAAUUGAACUCGCUGUGAAGAUGCAGUGUACCCGCGGCAAGACGGAAAGACCCCGUGAACCUUUACUAUAGCUUGACACUGAACAUUGAGCCUUGAUGUGUAGGAUAGGUGGGAGGCUUUGAAGUGUGGACGCCAGUCUGCAUGGAGCCGACCUUGAAAUACCACCCUUUAAUGU